GAUGAACGCUGGCGGCGUGCUUAAUACAUGCAAGUCGAGCGGAAAGACCAGGAGCUUGCGCCGCGCACGAUAGGGGAGGACGGGAGAGAAACACGUGGAUACCCCACCUAUAAGAGUGAGAUCAUCACGGGAAACCGGAGAUUAUACCGGAGGAUCUCUUGCACCGCGGGGGUGGAUGGAGAAAGACGGCGUUGGGGGAACUACUAGAUGGAUACGCGCUGGAUGAGCUGGUUGGUGAGGUAACGGCUUACCACGGCAACGAGGCGUAGCCGACCGGAUAGCGGGAUCGCCCACACGGGAACGUAGACACGGACCAUGCUCCUACGGGAGGCAGCAGUCUGGAAUCGUCCGCAAUGGGCGAAAGCCUGACGGAGCGACGCCGCGUGAGUGAUGAAGAUCUUCGGAUCGUAAAACUCUGUUAUGAGGGAUGAACAAAUGUGUAAGUAACUAUGCACUUCUUGACGGUACCUGAUCAGAAAGCCCCGGCUAACUACGUG
This 497-nucleotide ribosomal RNA is filed under the name uncultured bacterium. Its description in RNAcentral is "partial 16S ribosomal RNA". It matches the Rfam family "Bacterial small subunit ribosomal RNA", at positions 28 to 507 of the family's 1533-position model. The record is from RNAcentral.